RNAcentral lists this transfer RNA (358 nucleotides) under uncultured Microcystis sp. Its description in RNAcentral is "partial 16S-23S ribosomal RNA intergenic spacer". The stretch from base 133 to 206 matches the Rfam family "tRNA". The record is from RNAcentral. Lineage: Bacteria; Bacillati; Cyanobacteriota; Cyanophyceae; Chroococcales; Microcystaceae.
AAGGGAGACCUAAUUCCGGUAGGAGACGAAAAAAAAGUAGUCCCAACCAAGAAUCAAUCCCAAAAGGUCGGAACGAGGUAUGAGGCUUUCAAACUAGGUUCUGGGUUCAUAAAAGACCUGAAUCAGGAACAAGGGCUAUUAGCUCAGGUGGUUAGAGCGCACCCCUGAUAAGGGUGAGGUCCCUGGUUCGAGUCCAGGAUGGCCCACCUGCACAGGUGGCAAAAACGAGAGAAGCUCCGAAUCAGCACCUUAUCUUAUAUACAUAUAUAAGAGAGAAUGCUGGCUCUGAGUACAGAGUCCAGAGGAACCUUGAAAACUGCAUAGAGCUAGGUGAAAAAGCCAAAAAAGAAGACCGCAA